This 253-nucleotide ribosomal RNA is filed under the name uncultured bacterium. Its description in RNAcentral is "partial 16S ribosomal RNA". It matches the Rfam family "Bacterial small subunit ribosomal RNA", at positions 524 to 776 of the family's 1533-position model. The record is from RNAcentral.
GACGUAGGGCGCGAGCGUUGUCCGGAUUUAUUGGGCGUAAAGAGCUCGUAGGCGGCUUGUCGCGUCGACCGUGAAAACUUGGGGCUCAACCCUAAGCCUGCGGUCGAUACGGGCAGGCUCGAGUUCGGUAGGGGAGACUGGAAUUCCUGGUGUAGCGGUGAAAUGCGCAGAUAUCAGGAGGAACACCGAUGGCGAAGGCAGAUCUCUGGGCCGUAACUGACGCUGAGGAGCGAAAGCAUGGGGAGCGAACAGG